RNAcentral lists this long non-coding RNA (206 nucleotides) under Elaeis guineensis (African oil palm). Its description in RNAcentral is "long non-coding RNA (EGUI_LNC032903)". Lineage: Eukaryota; Viridiplantae; Streptophyta; Magnoliopsida; Arecales; Arecaceae. The record is from RNAcentral.
CUGACUUAUCCUCGGAUCGGUCCGACCAAUGCCCGACUCUACCCACCGAACAGACAGACGACUCCGACAAUGACAGCCAAUAAUAUCCGACCGAAGGUAUGCCGGCCAAACAGACCAAUACUGUUUCCAACCGGUUGAAUGGCCGAACCCGCAUCACCGACUCACUGUCAGGGGUGACAGUCGACGUCCGACUUCCACACGGCACC